GCCACACUCUCUUCAGCCCGUUCUCGAUGCGUUUCUGCCAUUUCUGCACGAUGCUGCCACUGUUCCUGUAAUCUACGCCUACUGAUUUCCUGUGGUUGUAUUUCGCCCCUCGAGAUGUUGGCGGACUGGAACGGCUGCUGUUUAUGUAGCGCAGUCGACGGGGAGUGAUGUUGGGCGAUUCAAUGGUGAUUUUCAGGCCUUGCUUGCGCGAUGGAGAGUUUAAUGGGGAAGGACUGGGGGAGCAUGGGCCUUGGGAGUACGAAGAUUUUGGGGAGUUUAAGAAAGCAGAAAGCUCUGCUCUUUGGCUUUCGACGAUAUCUUCCGAGACCGCCAAUUGCGUCUUUCAGAGACACUCAUCAUCAGCCUUUAUCCCCCCCGUUGUACCACCCUUUGGAAUAAAAAGACAAGUUACUCACUUUGAGUCUUGCGUUCUCCCGCCUCAAAACAACCAUUUCCUUCGCGACGCCAUGAUCAACGUUUGACCAGUGACCCCCCGGGAUCAAUGCCUCUAAAAACGUCUUUUCACCUUUUAGAUCAUCGGCUGUAAGGAACCCUCGCUGAAACGCCCGUGCAAAGAGGGCCUUGUACAUCAAGCUUUCCUCCAUCGUCAAAACGUCCCCAGGGGCGCCACCAUUAAGGCCGUCGCCUGUACUUGAAAUCUUAGCCAUGCUAUGAACUGUAUGGCUGUGGAGAUGAUGAUCCAUCGGGGUGAGAAGUAUCUCCGCCGCAGACGAUUCAGACAUGGAAGGUGAUAUCACCGGUGGAAAGAAUGGAUGGCAUCCUCGUCUCCGCAUUGGUAUUAGUAGAGGUUCUGGCGGCGAUGGUUGUGGGUACAUUUGAAGCCUGGGCCAAAACUUCAUCAUCGGUUCAAAGUUGCACGAGAGCCUCUCCCCAUAACUCAUUUCGCUUUCUAGCGAUAAGAAAUGUCCUCCCGAAGAAGGAUAAGGAGAAGAAUGAGAAGGAAGGGGAUUACCGAUCACGGCACAGGAGCUGAUAGCUGAAAGUGCUGGAGAAGCAGGUUCGGUGCGGCCAAUAGAGGCGUCGUACCAUGGUGUAAUAGUAUUUGAAUGGGUGCAAGGAACUAUAGUUUGAGAGCUGUCCUUCUUGCUACCAAUGCUAGUUGACUGCAAAGAGUUGGUGAAGGAAGAUGGAAUCCCCUGGGCAGCGAAGUGGGGAUAUGAGUUUCCGCCGUACUCCUGGUCAUCAACCAUCUCCACAGAAAUUACAGGCAUCCCUUGCCUAUGUUGCGAAUCAGGUAUCGCACUUUUCGACGCCUGGCGCAUAUUCUCCAUCGGAGUCAAUACUUCUCGGGCAAUACCCGCCGUCUCGAUACCAAGCCCACCAGAAAUGGACAGACCCCGAUGGGCAGAGUACUGAGUCGGAAGAAG
Molecule: small RNA, 1388 nt
Filed under: Cryptococcus neoformans H99
Lineage: Eukaryota; Fungi; Basidiomycota; Tremellomycetes; Tremellales; Cryptococcaceae
Description: Cryptococcus neoformans var. grubii H99 hypothetical RNA
Source: RNAcentral